RNAcentral lists this ribosomal RNA (375 nucleotides) under Nematoda sp. RNAcentral describes it as "SSU rRNA". It matches the Rfam family "Eukaryotic small subunit ribosomal RNA", at positions 252 to 625 of the family's 1831-position model. Lineage: Eukaryota; Metazoa; Nematoda. The record is from RNAcentral.
CUGAAUAACUACAGCUGAUCGCACAGUCUUCGCACUGGCGACAAAUCUUUCAAGUGUCUGCCUUAUCAGCUGUCGAUGGUAGUCUACGUGGCUACCAUGGCUGUAACGGGUAACGGAGAAUAAGGGUUCGACUCCGGAGAGGGAGCCUGAGAAACGGCUACCACAUCCAAGGAAGGCAGCAGGCGCGCAAAUUACCCACUCUCGGCAUGAGGAGGUAGUGACGAAAAAUAACGAGGUGGUUCUCAUUGAGGCCCACUAUCGGAAUGGGUACAAUUUAAACCCUUUAACGAGGACCUAUGAGAGGGCAAGUCUGGUGCCAGCAGCCGCGGUAAUUCCAGCUCUCAAGGUGUAUAUCGCCAUUGCUGCGGUUAAAAA